AUUCAUGGGGCAUUUGUCACACUGUUGGGGCUUCCACGUUUAGUUUUCUCUCCCCAUAAGCUAGCAAUUCCUUGAGAGAGGACCCCACGUUACUUGCCUUUAUCCCCGCACAGAGCACUUCACAGGCUGUGCAAGGGCUGUGUCUGGCUGUCCCUGAUAAAACUGUGAGAUGGUGUGCAGUGUCGGAGCAUGAGGCCACUAAGUGCCAGAGUUUCCGCGACCAUAUGAAAAGCGUCAUUCCAUCCGAUGGUCCCAGUGUUGCUUGUGUGAAGAAAGCCUCCUACCUUGAUUGCAUCAGGGCCAUUGCGGCAAACGAAGCGGAUGCUGUGACACUGGAUGCAGGUUUGGUGUAUGACGCUUACCUGGCUCCCAAUAACCUGAAGCCUGUGGUGGCAGAGUUCUACGGGUCAAAAGAGGAUCCACAGACUUUCUAUUAUGCUGUUGCUGUGGUGAAGAAGGACAGUGGCUUCCAGAUGAACCAGCUUCGAGGCAAGAAGUCCUGCCACACGGGUCUAGGCAGGUCCGCUGGGUGGAACAUCCCCAUAGGCUUACUUUACUGUGACUUACCUGAGCCACGUAAACCUCU
This 586-nucleotide small RNA is filed under the name Pan troglodytes (chimpanzee). Its description in RNAcentral is "processed transcript". Lineage: Eukaryota; Metazoa; Chordata; Mammalia; Primates; Hominidae. The record is from RNAcentral.